This is a long non-coding RNA of Octopus sinensis (East Asian common octopus), 210 nucleotides long. RefSeq lists it as uncharacterized. The transcript has 3 exons. NCBI's taxonomy places the organism in Eukaryota, Metazoa, Mollusca, Cephalopoda, Octopoda, Octopodidae. The record is from RefSeq and is a predicted model, not a curated record.
GCUAAGCAUUUCACCCGGCGUGCCAACGUUUCUGCCACCUCACCCAUUUAAGAGUACUCUUCAAUCAUUGGGCAAUAAACUGCACUUGCGAAGACCUGUUGAGGCAAGUUAAGUUAUUGUCAUGGCCGAUGACAAUACCGCCUGAUUGGCACCUGUGUCGGUAGCACAUAAAAAGCACCAUUCAAGCAUGGUUGAUGCCAGUGCUACCUG